AAGCCUGAAGGAGCAGCGCCGCGUGAGCGAUGAAGGCCUUCGGGUCGUAAAGCUCUGUUGGCGGGGAGGAACAGUAUCGGAGUAACUGCCGGUGCCUUGACGGUACCUGCCCAGAAAGCCCCGGCUAACUCCGUGCCAGCAGCCGCGGUAAUACGUAGGUGGCAAGCGUUGUUCGGAAUUAUUGGGCGUAAAGCGCGCGUAGGUGGUUCCUUAAGUCUGAUGUGAAAGCCCCGGGCUCAACCGGGGAAGGUCAUUGGAAACUGGGGAACUUGAGUGCGGAAGAGGAGAGCGGAAUUCCACGUGUAGCGGUGAAAUGCGUAGAGAUGUGAAGGAACACCAGUGGCGAAGGCGGCUCUCUGGUCUGUAACUGACGCUGAGGCGCGAAAGCGUGGGGAGCGAACAGGAUUAGAUACCCUGGUAGUCCACGCCGUAAACGAUGAGUGCUAAGUGUUAGAGGGUUUCCGACCUUUAGUGCUGCAGCAAACGCAUUAAGCACUCCGCCUGGUGAGUACGGCCGCUAGGCUGAUACUCAAAGGAAUUGACGGUUGCUCGCACAAGCGGCGUAGCAUGUGGUUUAAUUCGAAGCAACGCGAAGAACCUUACCAGGUCUUGACAUCCUCUGACACCCCUAGAGAUAGGGCGUUCCCCUUCGGGGGACAGAGUGACAGGUGGCGCAUGCUUCUCGUCCUCUCGUCUCGUGAGAUGGUGUGUGAGUCCCGACACGAGAGCCACCCUUGCUCUUAUGUGAGCGCAUUGAGUCUGUCCUCUAAGAUCACUGCAGGUGAAAAACCGAAGGACGCUGGUGAUGAACGUCAUAUCAUCAUGCCCCUGAUCACCUGGGCUACCACACGUGCUACUAAUCGCAUCGCACAUAGGCAGCGAACUCCGCGAGGUGAAGCC
Molecule: ribosomal RNA, 900 nt
Filed under: Bacillus sp. FdP-2MN_10-2-3
Lineage: Bacteria; Bacillati; Bacillota; Bacilli; Caryophanales; Bacillaceae
Description: bacterial SSU rRNA
Rfam family: Bacterial small subunit ribosomal RNA
Source: RNAcentral